UUUUCCGCAGAAGGAGAUGAAAGAAAGGCUUCGACAUCGCAUUAGGAAAGGAAUUCGAUGAUUCUGAAGCCUUGGCAUAAUAAUAAGAUAGGGUAGGCUGAACAAUCCGAGCAUGCAACAUCAGAUAGAUAGGCCGACUGAAAUCGGCUUUUAAGGCUAUGCUACUUUGCUACCAGCAGGACUGCUGCUAUGACUACAUGCGCAUCUAGUGCAGUGGCUUGGAAGCAAGCUACCUUGACCAUCUU
RNAcentral lists this long non-coding RNA (245 nucleotides) under Elaeis guineensis (African oil palm). Its description in RNAcentral is "long non-coding RNA (EGUI_LNC071718)". The record is from RNAcentral. Lineage: Eukaryota; Viridiplantae; Streptophyta; Magnoliopsida; Arecales; Arecaceae.